AUGUCGUUCACUUGCAGGCAUGCGACACUCUACUUCAAAGCCAUGGAAGUCGUGCGGAUGAGGGACGCAAGUGCUGCAUGCUAUGAGCACGUCAAUGUUGCCCUUGAUUCAGUGAUUCAAAGUGCAGCGCCUUUGGCAGAGAAACGGGAUGGACUGGCUUUCGAGGAUCGCGUGAUUCCAACGGCUGAUGUCAGGAUGUCUGCCAACGGCGAGCAAGCAAAUGCUGAUCGUGAGGCCGACCAUUGCCCAAGUGCCGGAAAUUCUUUCAGCACGAAUGCCAUGCAGUGCCUCACAACACCAGAGAAGCGUAGAGGGCCUGGCAGGCCUACAAACAGCAGGGACAAGGCGCCAUAUGAAGGACCGAGUAAGAGAACAAGGUUCUGCAGCAUAUGUCGGCGCGAAGGGCACAAGAAAACGACAUGCCCAGAAAGAGGGGAUAUGCCGAAGAAGCCACAGAAGCCUGGGAAAUGCAAAAACUGCGGGAUAGAAGGGCACCGACGUACCACGUGCACGAGACCACUUGGGUUUGCACAUAAUUGA
Molecule: ribosomal RNA, 540 nt
Filed under: Triticum aestivum (bread wheat)
Lineage: Eukaryota; Viridiplantae; Streptophyta; Magnoliopsida; Poales; Poaceae
Description: partial small subunit ribosomal RNA
Source: RNAcentral